AUUCUUUUGUCAUUCACAAGUGUGAUGUUUGGGUUUUCACACUUGUGUGUAAGAUGUGCCACUUUGUUAAGAUAUUGGCAUACUACCUAGCUUAUG
Small nucleolar RNA from Otolemur garnettii (small-eared galago), 96 nucleotides. The record is from Ensembl. Lineage: Eukaryota; Metazoa; Chordata; Mammalia; Primates; Galagidae.